AUAAAAAAGUUCAAUACAAAAACACCGAGUAAAACAAAUCAUGUGUUAUUUAUAAAAACAAAAUAUGUACAUUGAAAUAUGUUUCGCGUCAUUGACUCCCACCAAUUUACAGAAGGCCAAAAAAACGCUCAUAAGUUGUCUUUUAUUCCGUAUUAGUUCUAUACAAAUAUUGUUUUCUUUUUAUGCACCAAUGGAUAGUGACUCAUCGUCGUAUUGUGAGACGACGUACAGCGAAGAUCAAAGAAUUGAAAAAGCUUUACUCGAAGAAAAAAGAAUUCGUGCCCUCCGAGCUGCCGAAGAAGAUCAGGCUAGAAGAAAACUGUUUGAGAAUUACGCAAAAGAAGAUUUACCAAUAUUUAAAUUGCCGGGCAUAAAAUUUCACACAUUUCGCCACUUAAAAAUUAAAUUUUCGUUUGAACCUUCAAAAAUUACAGCUUUUGUGAACAAAAAUGUAAAAUUUUUUAUUUCACUAAAAUAUAAUGGCAAAUACUGGAGGGUAAAACGGAGUUCGUUUCCACUUACUUGCAAUCGGAAAAUAUAUCCCGUAUUUAACGAUCAAUAUUUCAUUGUCGACGAUGAAAAUAUUUUGACAGCUAUCACUAAAAUGUAUCAGUUUCUUGUGGAAUGGAAGGACAACGAAGAAGAGUUUCGUCUUGAAAAAUAUGAGAGAUACAAAAAGGGCGAGGAAGACGUAGAGCUAGACUCUGAUGAUGAACAGUUAUUUUUGAGCCAGAAUGAAAGAGUGGCACUUUAUCAAAAAAGAAUAAAGGUACUUAAGCGCAUGUUGCCACCUAAAACUUAAAAAUAGCCACAAAACGCUUGGAUGCAUCAUGAUUUACAGCUUUCGCAAAUUAGUAUUAUGUACAUACCCAACACUUUUUACAAUUAUUUAAUUUAAUAAUGAAUAUUGUUAUACUUAUUAGACUUUUGUAAUAAACAAAAACAAACGCUAGCAUUA
Molecule: long non-coding RNA, 958 nt
Organism: Zophobas morio
Lineage: Eukaryota; Metazoa; Arthropoda; Insecta; Coleoptera; Tenebrionidae
Exons: 3
Source: RefSeq, a predicted model, not a curated record